UUGAUUGUUAGAUAUUUUCUGAGAUGUGGUUCGACUGAUACUUUUGCUUUCAUUUUCUAAAUCACGGGUUAGAUUUUUGACAAUAACUAUGAGUUAUAAUUCUAAAUUCUGUUUGUGGAGCCAGUAAUCUAUGAUUAUAUGUAGUAUCUUAGAUGAGGGCUGAGUGGUUAGCAGAUUUUUUGGAUAAUCUACAAUUUUUUUUAGAAUGACCUGAAAUUGAC
This 221-nucleotide long non-coding RNA is filed under the name Panax ginseng (ginseng). RNAcentral describes it as "long non-coding RNA (PGIN_LNC019244)". The record is from RNAcentral. Lineage: Eukaryota; Viridiplantae; Streptophyta; Magnoliopsida; Apiales; Araliaceae.